GAAGCUGACCAGACAGUCGCCGCUUCGUCGUCGUCCUUUCGGGGAGACGGGCGGAGGGGAGGAAAGUCCGGGCUCCAUAGGGCAGGGUGCCAGGUAACGCCUGGGGGGGAAACCCACGACCAGUGCAACAGAGAGCAGACCGCCGAUGGCCCAUGUAAGUGGGAUCAGGUAAGGGUGAAAGGGUGCGGUAAGAGCGCACCGCGCGGCUGGUAACAGUCCGUGGCACGGUAAACUCCACCCGGAGCAAGGCCAAAUAGGGGUUCAUAAGGUACGGCCCGUACUGAACCCGGGUAGGCUGCUUGAGCCAGUGAGCGAUUGCUGGCCUAGAUGAAUGACUGUCCACGACAGAACCCGGCUUAUCGGUCAGUUUCACUU
This 375-nucleotide RNase P RNA is filed under the name Salmonella enterica subsp. enterica serovar Welikade. RNAcentral's name for it is "RNase P RNA component class A". It matches the Rfam family "Bacterial RNase P class A". Rfam says of the family: Ribonuclease P (RNase P) is a ubiquitous endoribonuclease, found in archaea, bacteria and eukarya as well as chloroplasts and mitochondria. Its best characterised activity is the generation of mature 5'-ends of tRNAs by cleaving the 5'-leader elements of precursor-tRNAs. Cellular RNase Ps are ribonucleoproteins. Lineage: Bacteria; Pseudomonadati; Pseudomonadota; Gammaproteobacteria; Enterobacterales; Enterobacteriaceae. The record is from RNAcentral.